Molecule: ribosomal RNA, 904 nt
Filed under: uncultured crenarchaeote
Lineage: Archaea; Thermoproteati; Thermoproteota
Description: bacterial SSU rRNA
Rfam family: Archaeal small subunit ribosomal RNA
Source: RNAcentral
CCUUACUGCUAUCGGGGUGGGACUAAGACAUGCGAGUCGAGCGUCUCUAGCUAUGUUGAGACGCGGCAGACGGCUCAGUAACACGUGGCUAACCUACCCUCAGGACGAGGAUAAACCCGGGAAACUGGGGCUAAUACUCGAUAGGUGAGUAUGUCUGGAAUGAUUUCUCACUCAAAGGGCCUUGGGAACACGCUUCCAAUGUCGCCUGGGGAUGGGGCCGCGUCCGAUCAGGUUGUUGGUGAGGUAAUGGCUCACCAAGCCUAUAACCGGUACGGGCCGUGAGAGCGGUAGCCCGGAGAUGGGUACUGAGACAAGGACCCAGGCCCUACGGGGCGCAGCAGUCGCGAAAACUCCGCAAUGCACGAAAGUGUGACGGGGCUACCCCCAAGUGCCAUCCGCUGAGGGUGGCUUUUCCUUGGUAUAACUAGCCGAGGGAAUAAGGAGAGGGCAAGACUGGUGUCAGCCGCCGCGGUAAUACCAGCUCUCCGAGUGGUAGGGAUGAUUAUUGGGCUUAAAGCGUCCGUAGCCGGCUUAGCAAGUCUCCUGUUAAAUUCAGCGACCUAAUCGUUGAGCCGCGGGAGAUACUACUAGGCUAGGAGGCGGGAGAGGUCGACGGUACUUCUGGGGUAGGGGUGAAAUCCUAUAAUCCCGGGAGGACCACCAGUGGCGAAGGCUGUCGACUAGAACGCGCUCGACGGUGAGGGACGAAAGCUGGGGGAGCGAACCGGAUUAGAUACCCGGGUAGUCCCAGCCGUAAACGAUGCGGGCUAGGUGUUGGGAUGGCUACGUGCCAUUUCAGUGCCGCAGGGAAGCCAUUAAGCCCGCCGCCUGGGGAGUACGGCCGCAAGGCUGAAACUUAAAGGAAUUGGCGGGGGAGCACCACAAGGCGUGAAGCUUGCGGUUC